UGCAAGAAUAAAAAAUAAAUUUUCGCACAUCUGGUGCUUAGAGUAUAUUAUGAAGAAUCAAUGCAAAGCAUUCUUGCAUCUCCAAUUUGUAAGUGUCAAUUCCUAGCACAUCAACACUGGAGUCAUUCCCCAUUAGUACUUUUUUGCUAGUUAGAACUCGAUGAUACUCCACGAACCCUGUCCGAUCACGUGCUAUGUGGUCCAUUGCUCCGGAAUCUACAAUUCACACAUUGAGAGAAUGACCAACGAAUACAGUGAAAGACAUUAAACACAUAGUUUGAUCAAGACAAGUGAUUACCUUCUUCGACUCGGUGCAGUCACGAGCGAAGUGUCGUGAUGUGCCACAGUUGUAACAAAUCAACUUGGCAUUGUCCUUCUCACCAGCCUCUGCAACCUUCCGAGGCUCAUUAACAUUAGCAAUCUCUAUUUGUUGAGCAUUUAGACGUUCAUCUUCUAGUCCUUAAGUCCUUAAACGCUCAACCACCAGCUGCUCAGCUUUUAAGCGCUCAAGGUGAUGAAAACUAUCUUCCAAAGAUUUAAUAUUUUCAUUUUGAGCUAUGUUAACCUUGAGAUUGUUCCAAUUGUUGGGAAAUGAGCGUAUCGUUGUCCGAAUGUGUUGUUCAUCUGAGAAAGGGUUGCCAGCAGCUCCUAACGUUGCAAUCAUAUUGGUAGUUAAGAGAUGCAAUCUAGCCAUGUCUAUUUUUUUUGGGAAAAGAAAAGGGAGAGAAUUUUAUUAGAGAUAUUCAAUUAGCAGGAGCCGCGCAUGGGCAAUGCAACGCUCCGGCGCGUGUGAGCUCCAUGCGCCGCCUUCCCGACAGUUCUUCGCAGCGGUGAUUGCACAGUUCUGAUUGACUCCUUUUUCUAAGUCCAAUGGUAUGCUCAAACUCUAUUUUAAGAGCUUCCAUGAGGGAGGUGUAGUGCAUUGGAGUGAUCAUUCGGUUAUAACCGAACCGAAUAAGCUUUUCGGUUAUAACCAAAAAUCGAAUUAUUGAUAAUUUUACUAUCCGAAAUAAUAACCGAAAUUUAAAAAUAACCGAAUACCGACUAACCGAAUUGUAAUUUCGGGUAUUCGGGUAAUAGCCGAACUAACAUCCAACAUAUUUACUGAUAACUACUUAACUGUUUAACAAAUUAACUGUCCAACAAGGCAAGAACUGUUAACUUAAUUGUCCAGCAGCAAAGUAACUUAACAACAAAUGUUUAAAAAUACAGCAAGUCAGCAACAACAAGCCAACAAAUUAAUUGUCCAGUCCUUAAGACCUUAACAAAGUUAUGACUUAACAAAGCAGCAACAAGCCAACAUGACUUAACAAAGCAGCAACAAGCCAACAGAGUAGCAGGCAGGCGGCAAUAGCUAGCAGCAGACCAGCAGUCCAGCCAACAGCAACAUACAACAGCAACAGCCAACAGCAAGUCAACAACAACAACAUGAACAUGCAACACAAAUCAUGUACAUCACAUGACCAACCAGGAAAAGGAAAGAGUAUAUAAUUAGAUCCAACACCUUAGAAUGUUUAUAAAAACUGGAAUACACAUAAUGAAUUUGCAAUACCCAUUGGAUUAACUAUCAUCAUCAACCUUCAUAUACAAAACAUAUCAACUGGCCUAUAAUCAAACUCUAUUUAACAAUUUAACAAUUUAACAUAGUUGGUUUAUCAUUGAAACAAAACAAGUAUGACAAAUGCAGAAUAAGAAAUUUGGAAAAACACACUCAACUACACCACAUUACUGACCACGUGUACAAAUGCACUAUUUGACCACUUACUUAAAUUUUGUACUCUUUAAUAACACAUACCAUGUAAAUAAAGUCACUAUUUGACCACUUGGUUUUAAUUAUGGAUGUAGAACUGUGAGAUAUUUGUGAUUGCAAAUAGAAAGCUUGAAAUUCAUGGGUCUGUGACAGCUCACGACAGGCCUAGUGCAACUGAAAAUAGUGGAUUUGUGUUUAUUAAAGGGAAGGUGUAUGGAUUUGGAGAUGUGUACUUGGGUAGAUCUAAAGGAGUCUAUUCCAGGGUAGUGUUUGCACACACUUAUAUUUCAAAUACCAUUGUACCUGAAGGAUGGACCAACUGGAGAUACCCAGGCAGUACAGAGUAAGAUACUUGACUUAAAUAUUUACUAAACUUAUACCAAGCAAAGCCUAUUCCAGCAUGUUGUGAAUUGGAAACAGAAAUUACACAAAAUCUCAGAAAUUACACAUGCACAGACACAAUUACACAAAAAUAAAUACAUACACAAAUAUGUGCAUAUAAACUGAGUUAAAUAAAAAAAUAAAAAAUAAAUAAGCCACACUCUUAUAUAGCAGAAUAAGCCAACAACAUGCACUAAACUGAGUUAAAUUCGACAAAAUCAAUAGAAUCAAUCAUAUAUGGACCAUACAUGUAAAAUCAUAUAUGGACCAGACAUGUAAAAUCUGUAAAGUAUCACCUCAUUUGCUUGCAGAAAAUAGAAAUUGUGACUAAUGAACCAACAAUCUUUGAAAUUAUAAUCCUUCUAUUUUUCCAUCAAAUAUAUGUAGACAGCAGACACCCACCCACACUAAAAGCAAUCGGUCUUUGAGAAUUUAGUAAAGGAUUACCUUAACAAAUGGAAAGCUGCCGCCGGCGCCGAGAUCUGAGAGUUCGAGAUGAAGGCCGAAGGGUCGCCGGUGACGAGAGUUCGAGAGUUUGAGACUUGAGGCUUGAGAGAUCUCAGAUCUGAGACUCUGAGACUGAGAGUUUGAGAAGAGUACGAGACAGUCCAGACUUGAGACUUGAGAUGUGAGAGAGAGAUCUGAUCUGAGUCUGAGAGACGGAGACUAAGGUCUGAGAGUUCGAGAUGAAGGCCGAUGGAAAACAGAAUCUGAGCGUGAGACUUUGAGAGACUGAGACUCGGAGUCUUCAUCUUCGAGAAUCGAGAUUCGAAUAUUGAAUGGGUUAUGGGCUGACCGGCUGAGUAGUUUGUACUGUUGAAGUGUUGAGAAUUU
Molecule: long non-coding RNA, 2965 nt
Filed under: Panax ginseng (ginseng)
Lineage: Eukaryota; Viridiplantae; Streptophyta; Magnoliopsida; Apiales; Araliaceae
Description: long non-coding RNA (PGIN_LNC012262)
Source: RNAcentral